RNAcentral lists this transfer RNA (91 nucleotides) under Faucicola osloensis. RNAcentral's name for it is "tRNA-Ser". It matches the Rfam family "tRNA". From Rfam's summary of the family: Transfer RNA (tRNA) molecules are approximately 80 nucleotides in length. Their secondary structure includes four short double-helical elements and three loops (D, anti-codon, and T loops). Lineage: Bacteria; Pseudomonadati; Pseudomonadota; Gammaproteobacteria; Moraxellales; Moraxellaceae. The record is from RNAcentral. RNAcentral also lists the same sequence under 1 other name.
GGAACGGUGGCAGAGUCUGGCUUAAUGCACUGGUCUUGAAAACCAGAGGGUCUAAACAGCCCCGUGGGUUCGAAUCCCACCCGUUCCGCCA